Molecule: ribosomal RNA, 225 nt
Filed under: uncultured bacterium
Lineage: Bacteria
Description: partial 16S ribosomal RNA
Rfam family: Bacterial small subunit ribosomal RNA
Source: RNAcentral
CGUAACGCGUAUGCAAUUUGCCCAUAACUGGGGGAUAGCCCGGAGAAAUCCGGAUUAAUACCCUAUAGUAUGUUGAGAAGGCAUCUUCUUAACAUUAAAGAUUUAUCGGUUAUGGAUGAGCAUGCGUCUGAUUAGCUAGUUGGUAAGGUAACGGCUUACCAAGGCUACGAUCAGUAGGGGGUCUGAGAGGAUGAUCCCCCACACUGGUACUGAGAUACGGACCAG